GGUGUUGUGGCUCAGUGGUAGAGCAUUUGCCUCACUCACAUGAGGCUCUGGGUUCGAUUCUUAGCACCACAU
Molecule: transfer RNA, 72 nt
Filed under: Ictidomys tridecemlineatus (thirteen-lined ground squirrel)
Lineage: Eukaryota; Metazoa; Chordata; Mammalia; Rodentia; Sciuridae
Description: Spermophilus tridecemlineatus (thirteen-lined ground squirrel) tRNA
Rfam family: tRNA
About the family: Transfer RNA (tRNA) molecules are approximately 80 nucleotides in length. Their secondary structure includes four short double-helical elements and three loops (D, anti-codon, and T loops). Further hydrogen bonds mediate the characteristic L-shaped molecular structure. tRNAs have two regions of fundamental functional importance: the anti-codon, which is responsible for specific mRNA codon recognition, and the 3' end, to which the tRNAs corresponding amino acid is attached (by aminoacyl-tRNA synthetases). tRNAs cope with the degeneracy of the genetic code in two manners: having more than one tRNA (with a specific anti-codon) for a particular amino acid; and 'wobble' base-pairing, i.e. permitting non-standard base-pairing at the 3rd anti-codon position.
Source: Rfam by way of RNAcentral